This 441-nucleotide ribosomal RNA is filed under the name Vertigo bisulcata. RNAcentral's name for it is "Afripupa bisulcata partial 16S ribosomal RNA". It matches the Rfam family "Archaeal large subunit ribosomal RNA", at positions 1919 to 2665 of the family's 2987-position model. Lineage: Eukaryota; Metazoa; Mollusca; Gastropoda; Stylommatophora; Vertiginidae. The record is from RNAcentral.
UAGCUUUAAGGUUUUUAUUUAAGGUCCUACCUGCCCGGUGAGAUAUUUAACGGCCGCAGUACUUUGACUGUGCUAAGGUAGCAUAAUAAAUUGGCUUUUAAUUAAAGUCGGGAAUGAAAGGAGAGUCGGAAAAAAACUGUCUUAUAUUGUUUUAUAUUAAUUUAAUUUUUUGAGUGAAAAUGCUCAUAAUUUUUUUUAUUAGACGAGAAGACCCUAAGAGUUAUAAUUAAAGUAAUUAUUUUACUUUUCAUUUUUGUUGGGGCAACAAAGACUGGAUAAAACCGUCAUAGAAAAUGUUUACAAAACCAAAAUGUUUAAUAAGAAAUAAACUACCUUAGGGAUAACAGCAUAAUUAAUUUUUAGAUUGUGACCUCGAUGUUGGAUUAAGGACUUUAUUUACUAGCCGUAAAUAAAGAUAGUUCUGUUCGAACUUCUUACCUU